Molecule: long non-coding RNA, 319 nt
Organism: Symphalangus syndactylus (siamang)
Lineage: Eukaryota; Metazoa; Chordata; Mammalia; Primates; Hylobatidae
Source: RefSeq, a predicted model, not a curated record
GGCCCCAAUCCACACCCCAAGAGAGGGUUCUUGGAUCUCCCACAAGAAAGAAUUCAGGGGCAGUGAAGAGACAUGUGGUCUAGGACACAUAUGACAACUCUGCUCCAUGAAGCCAUCUAGGCACCUAGACUCCUUCUGUCUUGUCACUUUACUAUCCAGAUGAUCUCCACAUUUGAUGAUUAAAGCCUACUCAUUAGUACCACUUCUAGCUCGUGGCAAGAGGAAGGAGAGAAUGCAGCUGGCCUUAUCACAACUGCUCAACAAGAUCAGAGUUGCUGAGUGAAAGGAGCAAUCAAGUCUAACAAAAACACUCCAACCC